RNAcentral lists this ribosomal RNA (406 nucleotides) under uncultured bacterium. RNAcentral's name for it is "partial 16S ribosomal RNA". It matches the Rfam family "Bacterial small subunit ribosomal RNA", at positions 30 to 526 of the family's 1533-position model. The record is from RNAcentral.
AUUGAACGCUGGCGGCAGGCUUAACACAUGCAAGUCGAGCGAGCGGCGGACGGGUGAGUCAUGUCUGGGAAACUGCCUGAUGGAGGGGGAUAACUACUGGAAACGGUAGCUAAUACCGCAUACCAUUAGAUGCGCCCAGAUGGGAGUAGCUAGUAGGUGGGGUAAUGGCUCACCUAGGCGACGAUCCCUAGCUGGUCUGAGAGGAGGACCAGCCACACUGGAACUGGGACACGGACCAUACUACUACGGGAGGCAGCAGUGGGGAAUAUUGCACAAUGGGGGCAAGCAUGAUGCAGCCGUGACGCGUGUGUGAAGAAGGCCUUCGGGUUGUAAAGCACUUUCAGCGAGGAGGCGUUACUCGCAGAAGAAGCACCGGCUAACUCCGUGCCAGCAGCCGCGGUAAUAC